UCUACGGGAGGCAGCAGUGGGGAAUAUUGGGCAAUGGGCGCAAGCCUGACCCAGCAACGCCGCGUGAAGGAAGAAGGCUUUCGGGUUGUAAACUUCUUUUGACAGGGAAGAGUAGAAGGCGGUACCUGUCGAAUAAGCCACGGCUCACUACGUGCCAGCAGCCGCGGUAAUACGUAGGGGGCCAGUGUUGUCCGGAUUGACUGGGUGUAAAGGGCGUGUAGCCGGGUUGACAAGUCUGAUGGGAAAUCCUGCGGCUUAACCGCAGAACUGCAGUUGAAACUGUUGAUCUUGAGUACUGGAGAGGCAGACGGAAUUCGUAGUGUAGCGGUGAAAUGCGUAGAUAUUAGGAGGAACACCAGUGGCGAAGGCGGUCUGCUGUACAGCUACUGACGGUGAGGCGCGAAGGUGUGGGGAGCGAACAGGAUUAGAUACCCCAGUAGUC
RNAcentral lists this ribosomal RNA (442 nucleotides) under uncultured bacterium. RNAcentral's name for it is "partial 16S ribosomal RNA". It matches the Rfam family "Bacterial small subunit ribosomal RNA", at positions 338 to 795 of the family's 1533-position model. The record is from RNAcentral.